RNAcentral lists this microRNA (25 nucleotides) under Meleagrid alphaherpesvirus 1 (Turkey herpesvirus). RNAcentral describes it as "hvt-miR-H7-3p". Its record names the gene hvt-miR-H7-3p. The record is from miRBase by way of RNAcentral. Lineage: Duplodnaviria; Heunggongvirae; Peploviricota; Herviviricetes; Herpesvirales; Orthoherpesviridae.
ACCGGUCCGUUGUAGGAAUUAGGAA